GACGACACUCUCGAUUUUCUUGCAGAUAUGGUGUCUCUGAGUGUGGAUACUCGUGUAUUACUAGGGCUUUCCUCAGAAUUGUUUUGCGAUCCAGGGGAGUCCAUUAUGGUACUUAUCGAAUCUGAUUCUGGAGCCAAUUUGGGGUUCUCAAUUGCUUUUGGCCCUCUUAGCUGUUCAAUGGUGUUAUCGCGUUUCAUCCUUGAUAUUCCACAUGAGAGCCUCUCCAAGAAGUAUUUCUUGUCUUUCUUCAUCUGCCUGCACCAAAAGAAGGACACGGUAUAAAAUCCCUCAAAGAUCAACUCUCAGGGUCUUAAGAACAACUUGGAACUCUUAACUGACCUGUCAAGUAUCACCCAUGAUGCCUUAAAUUCUUUGGCAACUUCUACAGCAACCACUUUUGGAGAAGGCCAGGGUUGCACCUCUAUGCAGAACUUAAUCUGAUUAAUUUGAGGUACAAAAACAACCUUGUUAGCCAUUUUCUUACACAUCAUAUACGACAAACUGAAUGCCUAUCCUAAGAUUUUAUUUUGUUUUUUAGAUAACCCGGUGUCUGGGAAAGCUUGCGCGCACCUUGACUAAUUCCGGGACCCAGAAGUUAAUGAUAGGGCAAACCUCAAGUGACCCCUUGUAAUUUACCCCUUUUAUUUUGUACAUCAAAGGUUCUCACAGGGAAUCUUCAGCUAAAGAAGGGUCAACAUUAGCAAGAAGUCGACUGAUAUUCAUCUUAACUGCAUUUGGUUUUACUGGCACAGUUAAUUUAGUUCAUGCAUCUCGUAGUCCGACACAUGUUUAACACUUAGGUAAAAUCCUUUGACGAUGUUGUUGAUUAAUAAAACAGGUGGAAGUUAUGGAUGUAGUAAGACCAGAAAAUCAUACUCAACAUAGAAGUUUCCUAAAAUAACAGAUUUAAAAUGCAUCAGCAAAAAUGGAUGUGGAAAAUUCUCUUGACUGAACUGUUAAGAGAAGGAAAGGUGGUGAUUCCAAGUAAAUAAGCAUCUCCAGUGUUAGUUUGAGAGCGGAUAUUCGGAUAUCCGCGGCGAUGAGCUUAUGAAUUUUCACAUGGUUGGAGGAAGAAAGAUGUGUUUAUGCUGCAAGUUUUGUAAAUUCCUAUGUUUUCCAUGCAUUUUAUUAUUACUUUCUGUAAAUUGUUUGGCACAGCAAGACAAGAAAUAUGGGGAGAAUGGGAGAUUACAAAGCUCUUAGUCCUAAAAAUGUCAUCCCUUGUUGUCAUAUAUGUAUAUUUUUUAUUAUAUAUUUAUACAUAUUUUAUUGUUCUCUGGAUGAUUCUUAUUUUAAUGUUAUAUAUUAUAUAUUUU
Molecule: non-coding RNA, 1316 nt
Organism: Camellia sinensis
Lineage: Eukaryota; Viridiplantae; Streptophyta; Magnoliopsida; Ericales; Theaceae
Source: RefSeq, a predicted model, not a curated record